This is a non-coding RNA of Dipodomys ordii (Ord's kangaroo rat), 70 nucleotides long. Lineage: Eukaryota; Metazoa; Chordata; Mammalia; Rodentia; Heteromyidae. The record is from Rfam.
GGGAAUGUGGCUUAGUGGUAUAGUGCUUGCCUAUCAUGCAUGAAGCCCUGGGUUUGAUUCCUCAUUAUUG